UUCUGCGAAAUAUCAUCCAUUUUUUUUCAAGAGAUACGACUAGUCGAAGAGAUUAUUACGUCAGUGUAAAGAAGUUCUUAUUAUAAUUCUAUUAUAGCCGGUGUUGGUUUUUAAAAUGAAGAUGAAAAAUGGCGUACAUUUUAUCGUUCUUGUUGGGAUUCGUUAAAACGAAGUUCUCAUUUUUUGUUUUACUUUAUGAAAUACCUCGUAAAUCAAUCUCAAUGAAACGAGGUAUUAAAAAUGUUUUUUUAUUAUUCUUCUGUACGAUUAAUUUUUGCUUCGUAAUUCCCGUAAUAAUAAUAAUUAUUACUAUUAUUAUCAUUAUCGUUUUAGUCGAACGAUUUGAACUUUGCACGAGAGAACGAUGAGCAUUAUUUUGCGUCAUCUUUUUUGAUACCAUUCGAAUAUAAUCUGACACGGAUUAUAUAUAUAUAUAUAUAUACAUAUACACAUACAAUGAGUAUCGUUCGAAACAGUACGUAUAAAUAGAGUACGAGCAAAUAUAGCGAGGUUUCAAAUAGACAAAAUACGUGGUCACGUAAUCGACGCCUACACCGACCGCCAUAUUAAAUAAAUUAAAGAAGAAUUAAUCUUCCAUGAAGAAUAUAUAUAAAUACGUGAAGACUACGAGCUUUGUUUGGCCCGUUUGAUCGUCAAGGCUGUUCUAACGUGACGCAAUCUCCAACAAGGUCACAUUCCUGUCGUAUGGGUUGGACAAUAAGGAAAAAAGAAAGAAAAAAAGGAGAAAAGAGAUGAAAAAAAAAAGAAAGAAAUAUAAGAAAUUAAAAUAAUGACCAACUGA
Molecule: long non-coding RNA, 802 nt
Organism: Vespula vulgaris
Lineage: Eukaryota; Metazoa; Arthropoda; Insecta; Hymenoptera; Vespidae
Exons: 2
Source: RefSeq, a predicted model, not a curated record